UAAGAUUUGACUCUGGAGAUUUAAGCUUUAUUUAUGUUCUUGAAUUGUGAUUUAGUUUCUCGGUUGUUUAGAAUCCAAUAAAUUGAAAACUGGGUUGCUUAAUAUGAAUAUACUAUACUAAUGGUAGUGUUGUGGUUUGAAUUGAUAAAUAUAAAAUCACCAUUGGUAUAUAUGUAAUUCUUAGCUCAAAGCUCAAGUAUUUGGAGGAGAUGGUUUUACUGCUGAUUAAGCAAGAAAAAUUGGGUUAUGUUGAAGGAUUUGAAGCUGCUUUAAAUUGGGCUCUUUUUUCGGCCCACAUGUAGGGAAUUGAAUUCGAAUUCGUGUUAUGUUUGAACUGAAUUAUUGGUUUGUAAUGAUUCAAAUGUUCAACUCAAUCUGUUAAUUUUAGGCACAAAAAAAAAAUUAAAACAAGGGAAAUGAUCAAUGUAGUCUCUAUCGUCAGAGAGAGAGAGAGAGAGAGAGAGAGAGAGAGAGAGAGAGAGAGAGAGAGGGCAAACAAUAUAGACAAGAGACUCAACUUUGAACUUUCCCAAAUAUGAAAUAAGGAGUUUCCAAAGUUUCAAGGUGCAACCAUCAUACAUAACAUACAUUAAUUUCUUUUGUACCCUGAUUUUUAGACUCUUACCUGUUGCUGGAGUUUUUGUUCUAAUUGCUCACUGGGCAUUGCUCUUCCUUUCUUCAGGUUUCUUUUAAACCUCAAGAGUGAUGGCGAUAUCAUCGAUGCUCUUACAGUUGUUGGAGGAAGAGUUCAAUACUUUAAUUAAUAAGAAGGAUCAAAUGCAUAUUGAAACAAAAAUCAGAAAUAUGCGAUUUAUUGGAGAACUUUGCAAGUUUAAAAUUGCUCCUGUCAGCUUGAUUUUUAGCAGUCUAAAGGUUGAAAAGCCUUGGAAGAGAAGAGAGAGAACGGAGGAGAGAUAAUACCCGAUUCAUGCCACCAUCGAUUGAGAAAUCCUCUUCCAUAAAUGAGAUCAAUUGCAGAAACAGCUGCCCUUCUGCUCAUCUUCCUUAAUCGGUCACAUUGGAUUUGAAAAAAAAGGAUGAAUGGAGUUUGCGAUUUUACUGCAAAUUUUAUGCUGAUUUCUUUUGUACUGAUUCGCUACCCAUUUCUUAUAAUGUGCUAAAAGCUACUGAUUUCUUCAAUUUAAUCUUUGGGCUUGAAAGUAAUCUUUGGGCUGAAAAUGUUUUGG
Salvia miltiorrhiza (redroot sage) is the source of this 1187-nucleotide long non-coding RNA. RefSeq lists it as uncharacterized. Lineage: Eukaryota; Viridiplantae; Streptophyta; Magnoliopsida; Lamiales; Lamiaceae. The transcript is spliced from 4 exons. The record is from RefSeq and is a predicted model, not a curated record.